This 377-nucleotide ribosomal RNA is filed under the name uncultured bacterium. RNAcentral describes it as "bacterial SSU rRNA". It matches the Rfam family "Bacterial small subunit ribosomal RNA", at positions 524 to 898 of the family's 1533-position model. The record is from RNAcentral.
UACGAAGGGGGCGAGCGUUAUUCGGAUUUAUUGGGCGUAAAGGGCGCGUAGGCGGCUUCGGAAGUCUGGUGUGAAAACGCUACCGCUCAACGGAGCGAGUGCGCUGGAAACUCCGAAACUUGAGUCAGGGAGAGGUGAACGGAAUACCUGGUGUAGCGGUGGAAUGCUUAGAGAUCAGGUAGAACACCUGAGGCGAAGGCGGUUCACUGGCCCUUGACUGACGCUGAUGCGCGAAAGCGUGGGGAUCAAACGGGAUUAGAUACCCCGGUAGUCCACGCUGUAAACGGUGAGUACUAGCUGUGGGAGGUAUCCAUUCCUUCCGUGGCGACGGUAACCCAUUAAGUACUCCGCCUGGGAAGUACGGCCGCAAGGUUGAA